CAGUAGCCACGGUAAUACGAAAGGUCCAAGCGUUACUCGGAAUUACUGGGCGUAAAGCGCGCGUAGGCGGUCUUGUAUGUCGAUUGUGAAAGCCCCGGGCUCAACCUGGGAACUGCAGUCGAAACUGCAAGACUUGAAUGUUGGAGAGGUUGGGGGAAUACCUAGUGGAGAAGUGGAAUUCGCAGAGAUUAGGUGGAACACCAGAGGCGAAGGCGCCUGACUGGCCAAACAUUGACGCUAAGGCGCGAAAGCGUGGGUAGCAAACAGGAUUAGAUACCCCUGUAGUCCCUGUCUCUUAUAC
Molecule: ribosomal RNA, 301 nt
Filed under: uncultured bacterium
Lineage: Bacteria
Description: partial 16S ribosomal RNA
Rfam family: Bacterial small subunit ribosomal RNA
Source: RNAcentral